RNA transcript from Tachysurus fulvidraco (yellow catfish), 1296 nucleotides. It is a transcript of the gene named spermatogenesis associated 4, with no coding region annotated. The record is from RefSeq and is a predicted model, not a curated record. NCBI's taxonomy places the organism in Eukaryota, Metazoa, Chordata, Actinopteri, Siluriformes, Bagridae. The transcript has 6 exons.
UGCUGCUGCUGCUGCUGUCUUAACGACGCUCUGAGUGUAAAUGACCGCAAGGUGGCAGCAGCGCGCUGACAGAUCUGUUUCCAUAGAAACGCUGUGAACAACACAGGAAGAGACCCGGAAGAGGCGCAUGCUCAAUAUUAAUACAUCAGGAUCAUUUACGUGUUUAUAAUUUAGAUAUUAAAGUAUAAUAAAACAUGGAUUAUUCACCACCAAGGAAGAGGAGUGGACUUCCGCGGGAAGUGUGGAAAUGGCUGCAGAGUCUCGAGCUCUCUAUUUCACCUAAAAACAUCCGGAGAGAUUUCUCUAACGGUUGUCUGGUGGCAGAGAUUUUCUCCUGGUAUUUCCCCGAGGACGUCUCUCUACACUCGUACCAGAACGGAGUGUCGCUCGGCACCAAGCAGAGCAACUGGAGUCAGAUCGAGAAGGUGCUGGUGAAGCGGCGCAUCAGUUUAUUGAAGGAGUUGAUUAAUGGUACGAUUCACUGCAAACCAGGAGCAGCCGAGGCUUUAAUUCAGGAGAUUUACACAUUACUGACCAACAGGAGGAUCCAGAGUGUCCAGGAGGAGGUGCUGGACUUCAGCGAUCAGAGUUACCAGGAGCAGCUGCCCAUGACGGCUCGAGCCACGGCGUCUAAAGCCAUAAAAAACAACCAGAAUCUGAGUGAGGAGCUCGUGGAGCACAACAUCAACACCACACAGAGGAAAAUCCACAACAUCAUCCACCGGCAUGUGGACCUCCGGAGACAGGAGAGGGUCCAGAACCCCCAGCGCUUUAACGUGAAGCCCACGCUGGGAGAGCAGGCUGUCCGACUACCACCAUCACACACUCACACGCCACCACCACCUUCUCCAUCAUCCUCAUUAUCAUCAUCCUCAUCAUCAUCACCUGUAUGAUUACAGCAUUACUGAGAUUAAAACAGUGAACUCAUUAGACUAGAGGCUCGACCGAUACAACAGAUUCUGAGCAUGGUGACUGAUGGGAGUCGCAUCGCAGGGAUCAGAUUAUAUCUCCAGCUCCAACUUUGGAAACAAAAAUACUUUAGUAAACGACGAUUAAGUAAUAAAGAUAUUUACUGUAUUUAUAAUCAGACCGAACGUACACAGACUUCACAGCAAAUCAGCCUCCAGUCUGACUCAUGAGGAGUGUGUUAGUUACAUUCGCCUCGUAGCUCCAAGACAGGAAAUAAACACGGUUUAGCAAACGGACGACGUUUAGAGGGAACGGAACCGACGGAACAGCCGAGUUAUCUGAUUAAUGUGUGAACAAUCAUUAAAUAAUAAAUGAACAUGUAACAUG